CAAGGAAUAGUUUAAGUAAAAUUUUAAUUUUGGAGAUUAAAAAUAGGAGGGAUCUCUUUUCCUUGA
Molecule: transfer RNA, 66 nt
Filed under: Hermerius intermedia
Lineage: Eukaryota; Metazoa; Arthropoda; Insecta; Coleoptera; Cerambycidae
Description: tRNA-Pro
Source: RNAcentral